This 748-nucleotide transfer RNA is filed under the name Legionella micdadei. RNAcentral's name for it is "Tatlockia micdadei partial 16S-23S ribosomal RNA intergenic spacer". The stretch from base 410 to 482 matches the Rfam family "tRNA". Lineage: Bacteria; Pseudomonadati; Pseudomonadota; Gammaproteobacteria; Legionellales; Legionellaceae. The record is from RNAcentral.
AUAGAAAUGAAAGGUACGAUGAGAGCUCAAAGCGCCCACACAGUUUGUUUUCGAGAAUAAGAAGAGACGACGAAGAAUCCGAAUGCGGGGCUUAAGACCCAAGCAUUGCCAGGGAAGAGAGCAGCGAAUUUUGCACUGGGUUCAGUGUGGAAGAGAAGCUGAAGCAAGAAUUUCUGCGGGGAUUUAUUCCUUAAUCGAGAUGUCAACGCGAAGGAGCAUACGCUCGGUAUGUGACCGAGGAAAAGCAUGUCGAUAACAAAGGGCAGAAAAAGCUAACAAAAGAAAUUUUGCAAGCAUGUUUUCGUAAUCGAGGCAUCGAUGCGGGUGAGUGAGGGAGCAUACGGCAGUAUGUGAUCGAACGAAAGGGUAUCGAUAACGGAGAGUAACGGAAAAGGCAGCGCAGAAAAAAGGGGUCGUAGCUCAGCUGGGAGAGCACCUGCCUUGCACGCAGGGGGUCGGGAGUUCGAUCCUCCCCGGCUCCACCAAUCAGUCGUUUCGGGAUUAUCAAGGCCAAAGAAUUUUCAGUUUAAAGAGGCUGAGAGUGCUUUUGUCUGGAAUAUCCGGAAGUUCAUUAACAAUUUGGUAGAGAAAUAGAGGUAACACAAGCGAAUUAGUAUUGUCCUUGUAGUAUAACCGAUGGCGCUUGGAACGGGCUAAUGAGCCUGUUUUGAGAAUCUUUGCAAAGUUUUUUCGUUAAUCGAUGAAGAGGGGCGAAAAGGGCGCUGUAGGGAGGUGGUUGAGGUUAUAU